This 617-nucleotide ribosomal RNA is filed under the name uncultured Enterobacteriaceae bacterium. Its description in RNAcentral is "bacterial SSU rRNA". It matches the Rfam family "Bacterial small subunit ribosomal RNA", at positions 1 to 638 of the family's 1533-position model. Lineage: Bacteria; Pseudomonadati; Pseudomonadota; Gammaproteobacteria; Enterobacterales; Enterobacteriaceae. The record is from RNAcentral.
UCGGCUUAGAGUUUGAUCAUGGCUCAGAUUGAACGCUGGCGGCAGGCUUAACACAUGCAAGUCGAACGGUAAAGUAGCUUGCUACUUACGAGUGGCGGACGGGUGAGUAACGUAUGGGAAUUUACCGAAUGGAGGGGGACAACAGUUGGAAACGGCUGCUAAUACCGCAUAACGUCGAGAGACCAAAGGGUUUCGACUUGCCAUUUGAUGAGCCCAUAUGAGAUUAGCUAGUUGGUGUGGUAAUGGCUCACCAAGGCGACGAUCUCUAGCUGGUUUGAGAGGAUGACCAGCCACACUGGGACUGAGACACGGCCCAGACUCCUACGGGAGGCAGCAGUGGGGAAUAUUGCACAAUGGGGGGAACCCUGAUGCAGCCAUGCCGCGUGUAUGAAGAAGGCCUUAGGGUUGUAAAGUACUUUCGUGGAGGAGGAAGGGUUUACGUAAUCGUGGACAUUGACGUUACUCCAAGAAGAAGCACCGGCUAACUCCGUGCCAGCAGCCGCGGUAUACGGAGGGUGCGAGCGUUAAUCGGAAUGACUGGGCGUAAGGGCAUGUAGGCGGAUGAUUAAGUUAGAUGUGAAUCCCUGGGCUUAACCUAGGAUUGCAUUAAACUGGUU